Molecule: long non-coding RNA, 192 nt
Organism: Chinchilla lanigera (long-tailed chinchilla)
Lineage: Eukaryota; Metazoa; Chordata; Mammalia; Rodentia; Chinchillidae
Exons: 3
Source: RefSeq, a predicted model, not a curated record
GAGGAAAUGAGUAAGAAAGAAAAGCAACAUGUAUAAAAUGUUGACUGUUUAUAAUUCUUCAGGUCCCCUGAACUGAAGAAAGAAAGAAGAGAACCAGACCUUUGGCCAACCCUACUGUCUCCCACACAGAGCAGAGGAGAGGGACCAGCAUCCUGGAGGACCAGGAGCAGAGGUUCUGCUGAGAAAUAUGGG